This 497-nucleotide ribosomal RNA is filed under the name uncultured bacterium. RNAcentral describes it as "partial 16S ribosomal RNA". It matches the Rfam family "Bacterial small subunit ribosomal RNA", at positions 28 to 507 of the family's 1533-position model. The record is from RNAcentral.
GAUGAACGCUGGCGGCGUGCCUAAUACAUGCAAGUCGAGCGAACAGAUGAGGAGCUUGCUCCUCUGACGUUAGCGGCGGACGGGUGAGUAACACGUGGAUAACCUACCUAUAAGACUGGGAUAACUUCGGGAAACCGGAGCUAAUACCGGAUAAUAUAUUGAACCGCAUGGUUCAAUAGUGAAAGGCGGUUUUGCUGUCACUUAUAGAUGGAUCCGCGCCGCAUUAGCUAGUUGGUAAGGUAACGGCUUACCAAGGCAACGAUGCGUAGCCGACCUGAGAGGGGGAUCGGCCAAACUGGAACUGAGACACGGUCCAGACUCCUACGGGAGGCAGCAGUAGGGAAUCUUCCGCAAUGGGCGAAAGCCUGACGGAGCAACGCCGCGUGAGUGAUGAAGGUCUUCGGAUCGUAAAACUCUGUUAUUAGGGAAGAACAAAUGUGUAAGUAACUAUGCACGUCUUGACGGUACCUAAUCAGAAAGCCACGGCUAACUACGUG